Molecule: RNase P RNA, 560 nt
Filed under: Candidatus Uhrbacteria bacterium
Lineage: Bacteria; Candidatus Uhriibacteriota
Description: RNase P RNA component class A
Rfam family: Bacterial RNase P class A
About the family: Ribonuclease P (RNase P) is a ubiquitous endoribonuclease, found in archaea, bacteria and eukarya as well as chloroplasts and mitochondria. Its best characterised activity is the generation of mature 5'-ends of tRNAs by cleaving the 5'-leader elements of precursor-tRNAs.
Source: RNAcentral
CCAAAUAAGCAGAGAUCGCCCUGCCUUAGGCAGGGAGGAAAGUCCGGACACCGGCCAUUGCUUCGCAAUGGAAAUUCUAAAUCAAAAAUCAUAAAUACUAAACAAUAUUGUUUUAAAUUCUGUAUUUAAGACAUUUGAAUUUGUUUAGAAUUUGGUGCUUAGAAUUUAGUGCUUCCCUUGCGAAGCAAGAAGGAUGGUAACGGGUAAUGCCCGCCCUUUUAAUCGCGAUAUUAAAAGAGGACUAGUGCCACAGAGACAAUACUAGCUUAUGGCCAAUGGCUAAUAGCUAUUUGCUAUAUGCCCUAAGCCAUUUGCCAAACGUGAAAAGUGUUUUGGUGUUAUUUGUUCUCGAGACAAAUAGCUACAAAACUCGGCUCCUGGCAACAGAACAGCCGCGGUAAACUUCUACCUGGUGCAAGGACAAAUUUUCGUUUUUUAUAAAACGAAAAAACAAGUAGUCCGCUUGAGCUUUGGCAGCAAUGCCAGGCCUAGAUAGAUGAUCUCUCUUUUUUAGCUUUCAGUUAAAAAAGAAACAGAAUCCGGCUUACUCAUUUGGAUAU